UGUGCAGAGAAGCACCAGGUGCUCCAAGAUUUAGUGAUUCAAAAAAGAAGAAGAAAGUGUAUGCAGUAUGCUACACGAGUGGCAAGUCUUUCAAAUCACCAUGGGUCUCUGGCCUGAUGAGUAGAGUUUAACAGUAGUACUUGCUACAAGU
This 151-nucleotide small nucleolar RNA is filed under the name Vulpes vulpes (red fox). Lineage: Eukaryota; Metazoa; Chordata; Mammalia; Carnivora; Canidae. The record is from RNAcentral.